UGAAUACAGAUUUGCAGCGGCUGAAGUU
This 28-nucleotide non-coding RNA is filed under the name Bombyx mori (domestic silkworm). The record is from RNAcentral. Lineage: Eukaryota; Metazoa; Arthropoda; Insecta; Lepidoptera; Bombycidae.